CGAGGGGGGGCUAGCGUUGUUCGGAAUUACUGGGCGUAAAGGGUUCGUAGGUGGCUCGCUAAGUCAGACGUGAAAUCCCUCAGCUUUACUGGGGAACUGCGUCUGAGACUGGCGAGCUCGAGUGCAGGAGAGGAACGCGGAAUUCCAGGUGUAGCGGUGAAAUGCGUAGAUAUCUGGAGGAACACCGGUGGCGAAGGCGGCGUUCUGGACUGCAACUGACACUGAGGAACGAAAGCCAGGGUAGCAAACGGGAUUAGAUACCCCGGUAGUCCUGGCCCUAAACGAUGAAUGCUUGGUGUGGCGGGUAUCGAUCCCUGCCGUGCCGCAGUUAACGCGUUAAGCAUUCCGCCUGGGGAGUACGGUCGCAAGGCUG
RNAcentral lists this ribosomal RNA (373 nucleotides) under uncultured organism. Its description in RNAcentral is "bacterial SSU rRNA". It matches the Rfam family "Bacterial small subunit ribosomal RNA", at positions 525 to 896 of the family's 1533-position model. The record is from RNAcentral.